GACGAACGCUGGCGGCGUGCUUAACACAUGCAAGUCGAACGGAAAGGCCCUGCUUUUGUGGGGUGCUCGAGUGGCGAACGGGUGAGUAACAGGUGAGUAACCUGCCCUUGACUUUGGGAUAACUUCAGGAAACUGGGGCUAAUACCGGAUAGGAGCUCCUGCUGAAUGGUGGGGGUUGGAAAGUUUCGGCGGUUGGGGAUGGACUCGCGGCUUAUCAGCUUGUUGGUGGGGUAGUGGCUUACCAAGGCUUUGACGGGUAGCCGGCCUGAGAGGGUGACCGGCCACAUUGGGACUGAGAUACGGCCCAGACUCCUACGGGAGGCAGCAGUGGGGAAUAUUGCACAAUGGGCGGAAGCCUGAUGCAGCAACGCCGCGUGCGGGAUGACGGCCUUCGGGUUGUAAACCGCUUUCGCCUGUGACGAAGCGUGAGUGACGGUAAUGGGUAAAGAAGCACCGGCUAACUACGUG
RNAcentral lists this ribosomal RNA (468 nucleotides) under uncultured bacterium. Its description in RNAcentral is "partial 16S ribosomal RNA". It matches the Rfam family "Bacterial small subunit ribosomal RNA", at positions 28 to 507 of the family's 1533-position model. The record is from RNAcentral.